This 325-nucleotide ribosomal RNA is filed under the name uncultured eukaryote. RNAcentral describes it as "partial 18S ribosomal RNA". It matches the Rfam family "Eukaryotic small subunit ribosomal RNA", at positions 1470 to 1796 of the family's 1831-position model. The record is from RNAcentral.
CCCUUAGAUGUUCUGGGCCGCACGCGCGCUACACUGAUGCAUUCAACGAGCCUAUCCUUGACCGACAGGUCCGGGUAAUCUUUGAAUCUGCAUCGUGACGGGGAUAGAUUAUUGCAAUUAUUAAUCUUCAACGAGGAAUGCCUAGUAGGCGCAAGUCAUCAGCUUGCAUCGAUUACGUCCCUGCCCUUUGUACACACCGCCCGUCGCUCCUACCGAUUGGGUGUGCUGGUGAAAUGUUCGGAUCGGCCGUUUGUCGCGGUUUCCGCGGCUCGUGGCUGAGAAGUUCAUUAAACCCUCCCACCUAGAGGAAGGAGAAGUCGUAACA